Molecule: ribosomal RNA, 179 nt
Filed under: Rubus crataegifolius
Lineage: Eukaryota; Viridiplantae; Streptophyta; Magnoliopsida; Rosales; Rosaceae
Description: 5.8S ribosomal RNA
Rfam family: 5.8S ribosomal RNA (bases 11-166)
About the family: 5.8S ribosomal RNA (5.8S rRNA) is a component of the large subunit of the eukaryotic ribosome. It is transcribed by RNA polymerase I as part of the 45S precursor that also contains 18S and 28S rRNA. Functionally, it is thought that 5.8S rRNA may be involved in ribosome translocation.
Source: RNAcentral
AUGUCUAAACGACUCUCGGCAACGGAUAUCUCGGCUCUCGCAUCGAUGAAGAACGUAGCGAAAUGCGAUACUUGGUGUGAAUUGCAGGAUCCCGUGAACCAUCGAGUCUUUGAACGCAAGUUGCGCCCGAAGCCAUUAGGCCGAGGGCACGCCUGCCUGGGCGUCACACGUCGUUGCCC